RNAcentral lists this ribosomal RNA (253 nucleotides) under uncultured bacterium. RNAcentral's name for it is "partial 16S ribosomal RNA". It matches the Rfam family "Bacterial small subunit ribosomal RNA", at positions 524 to 776 of the family's 1533-position model. The record is from RNAcentral.
UACGUAGGGUGCGAGCGUUGUCCGGAAUUACUGGGCGUAAAGAGCUCGUAGGUGGUUUGUCGCGUUGUUCGUGAAAACUCACAGCUCAACUGUGGGCGUGCGGGCGAUACGGGCAGACUGGAGUACUGCAGGGGAGACUGGAAUUCCUGGUGUAGCGGUGGAAUGCGCAGAUACCAGGAGGAACACCGGUGGCGAAGGCAGAUCUCUGGGCCGUAACUGACGCUGAGGAGCGAAAGCAUGGGGAGCGAACAGG